GACGAACGCUGGCGGCGUGCCUAAUACAUGCAAGUCGAGCGGACGGAUGGGAGCUUGCUCCCAGACCGUCAGCGGCGGACGGGUGGGUAACACGUGGGCAACCUGCCUGUAAGACUGGGAUAACUCCGGGAAACCGGGGCUAAUACCGGAUAACUCUUUCCCUCACAUGAGGGAAAGCUGAAAGAUGGCAUCUCGCUAUCACUUACAGAUGGGCCCGCGGCGCAUUAGCUAGUUGGUGAGGUAACGGCUCACCAAGGCGACGAUGCGUAGCCGACCUGAGAGGGUGAUCGGCCACACUGGGACUGAGACACGGCCCAGACUCCUACGGGAGGCAGCAGUAGGGAAUCUUCCGCAAUGGACGAAAGUCUGACGGAGCAACGCCGCGUGAGUGAUGAAGGUUUUCGGAUCGUAAAACUCUGUUGUCAGGGAAGAACAAGUACCGGAGUAACUGCCGGUACCUUGACGGUACCUGACCAGAAAGCCACGGCUAACUACGUG
RNAcentral lists this ribosomal RNA (498 nucleotides) under uncultured bacterium. RNAcentral's name for it is "partial 16S ribosomal RNA". It matches the Rfam family "Bacterial small subunit ribosomal RNA", at positions 28 to 507 of the family's 1533-position model. The record is from RNAcentral.